This 480-nucleotide ribosomal RNA is filed under the name uncultured bacterium. Its description in RNAcentral is "bacterial SSU rRNA". It matches the Rfam family "Bacterial small subunit ribosomal RNA", at positions 327 to 793 of the family's 1533-position model. The record is from RNAcentral.
CCUCGUAGACUCCUACGGGGAGGCAGCAGUGGGGAAUAUUGCACAAUGGGGCGCAAGCCUGAUGCAGCCAUGCGCGUGUAUGAAGAAGGCCUUCGGGUUGUAAAGUACUUUCAGCAGUGAGGAAGGUCGGGUAUGUUAAUAGCAUAUUCAUUUGACGUUAGCUGCAGAAGAAGCACCGGCUAACUCCCGUUGCCAGCAGCCGCGGUAAUACGGAGGGUGCGAGCGUUAAUCGGAAUUACUGGGCGUAAAGCGCAUGCAGGUGGUUUGUUAAGUCAGAUGUGAAAGCCCGGGGGCUCAACCUCGGAAUUGCAUUUGAAACUGGCAAACUAGAGUACUGUAGAAGGGGGGUAGAAUUUCAGGUGUAGCGGUGAAAUGCGUAGAGAUCUGAAGGAAUACCGGUGGCGAAGGCGGCCCCCUGGACAGAUACUGACACUCAGAUGCGAAAGCGUGGGGAGCAAACAGGAUUAGAUACCCUGGUAG